UCAGAAACCAUCAUAAGCCUGAAAAUAUAACAAAAUAAUAUGUUGAUUCUAAUACACAUGUAAACAAAAUGAACUACAUGCAUUCAGUGUAUACGGCAACAUACAUAUACAAAUGUAAACAUACAGUGUAAAAUUAAAAACAUCAUGAUACCACAUAUGAUCAUAAUAAAGUUGACAAACAUUCAGAGAUAAAUAAAUAUUUUCUAAUUUAAAACUUCAUUCUGUUCAACAUUUUUGUCCAUUUUUUGUUUAGCAAAUUACUGAUUUUUUAUAAUUUAUUUUUCCUUUCCAACUUAUUCCUCAUAAAAGUCCCUAUUAUAUUUUUAACAGAACAAAAACAAUUUGAUAAAAGUACAAACAAGUGUGUUACUGUUUAUGUUUGAUACAUGUCGACUACUUAUCAGAAUCAAUUUAAGAAUCAAUUCAACUUCACAGCUCGGAACAAAAUGUCAAUUGAAAAGCAUGUAUUUUACAAAUAGUAAAAUGUGUCAUUUUACAAAAUUUAUGUCAAAGUUUAUGAAGAGUUCCCAAUAAUUUACAAUAAGAUUUUCUAUGGUUAAUAUGCAUCUUUAUUAUCUCAGCUCUGCAAUCCUUUCCAUCUCUCUCAGUGGCUGAAUUGAAAUGACAUGAAUGUAUAAUAUGGCUUUAUAUCUAAAAGGAAGAAAAGAUGAAAUAAAAAGGAAGGGAGUUGAAAAGUAAUGACAGCAGAGUUAAAAAGUAAUGACAGCAAUUGAACUUAUAUCAUAACAGGAAAUCCAAUCAAUUUGUAAAGAGUGAAAAUCUUUGAAAAGUUGAAUAAUUUUUACACAGAGUGAUUUUAGAUUGAAAGUAUACAGAACAUACACAUGUUUCCUGAAAGUAACAUGUUAAACAUUGAUAUUUUGAGAUUUGCAACUUUCUUAUCAUUAUUUAAGUAUAAGUUACUUUGUGAUAAAUUCUUAUCUUUAACCAAUUAAAAUUUGUAGGCAUCCAAUUUACUGUUUCGAAGAUUCAAAAUAUGCUUACUUUUUUACUUUAAAUGUAUAUAUAAUAUAUAUAUAUAUAUAUAAGCCAGCCUGUAUUUUUCAUAUUAACCCACUUAAUUGAUAUAACCAAUAAAACACUUAUUUGAAACUUGGCGUAGUCAUUUGCUUAAAUGAUUUAUGGUUGUCUGGCUCUUUUAAAGUAUUAAAUAUGGAUUGGUCGGCCAAUCCAAUUUGCAGAAGCAUGCGCAUAAACACUAAAGAACUUCAGAUUGACUAUUUUUAAUUAACUAUUUGGAAUGGUUUUAACAGAAAAAACCCGCCACAUCUCCAUCAAGUCUUAAGUUUACUUUUUAGCAGUUCAAGCACAUUUAAGUCCUGGCCUCAGUAUCACGAAUGAACUCAACCUAAAACUUAAACUCAAAGUUUGACUUGAGAUUUGUUUUGACUCAGUUGAGAUCCGACUCAAUUUGGUGAUCACAAAAUAAUUUGAGACCGUUCUCAGCCGAGUUUUAAACUCAGUCUCAACUUUAUCGAUCUGCAUUCGCGUAAGCGGUUAUAUUUCGCUAAAUACUCUUCAACUGGAAGAUGAACCGCGAGCUUAUGUCAUCAUCGGGGUCGUCUGUCAGUGGCAAAAAUGAACGAGUUAAAGAAGCGCUCGAACAAUUGGACUAAUUCAGAGCGGCACUCCGCUCUGUCAACAAUACUGAAUCAACAUGAUUCACUUUUUGGAAAGUUCAAAGGGGCCACUCUCGGAAAUAAGGCCAAGGAGGCCAAAUGGGAUGAGAUCGUAAUGGAAAUAAAUUCCUGUGGUGGUACACGCAGAACUGUGGAAGAGGUCCGGAAGAUGUAUCAGAGCUCAAAGCAACGAGCAAAGGAUAAAUUCUUUCGCAGCCAGAAGACUGGGAGUUGACCUGGAGAGCAGUUUUCAGCAUGCGAUAAUUUGCUUCUAGACAAACUAAAGGACACACAUGUACUGACUGGCAUUGCUGGCGGGGUUGAGAGUGGGUCCUACUCAUUCAUCAUUGAGAACGAUCAUGACAGCUCUCAACCUGAAACUGGUGCAUGUAGCAGGAACAAUGAAAACCAUACAUCUGUAGAAUAUAUACAGACUACAAGUACCUGUGCAAGUGGCAGUGCUUUGAUGUCUUUGUCAACAGAUGAAGUUCCAUGUGUAUUUGCAGAGAAAAUGCAGAGAAAAUGCUUUUGAAACGAUCAGGUGAGGUGGACGAACUGUAUGAGCUGGAAAAAAAGAGAGCCAGAGUAGAACUGAAGUUGGCCGAGAACCGAGUCGCCAAUGAGAAUGAGUUAUUUGAACUGAAAAAAGCAAUACUUGAAACAAACCUUGAACAAGUGUUUAGCAAUAGUUCUAUCAUACCAUUCAAUGAAUUGUAAACCCUUUAUUUCUUCAAUUUUCUGUUAAAACAAUUAAAAAUUGAAAAGUCUACUGAAUUUGUGAAAAUCUCUUUUUUAAACAAAAAUAUUUGCAAUAUGUCAUUAGUUCUUUGUAUAUAGUUGUGUUCAUAGAUUCGAGAAUUCAUCUUGUAUUACUUUUCUGAACAUGAUGUUCAACACAAAAUAAUGUUAAGAACUUUAUGUUAUCUAUAACAUGUGAACAGUGAAAUGAAAAGCUAUAAUAGUGUACACUUUAGAAACAGUUAAACAAGUAGCUAGAAUGGUAUUUUCAUUUAAUUCUUUGAUACUGUUCAGACUUUGUCUUAUGCCCUAUAUAUAUAGUCCUUUCACAAGCAGCAAAUACAACUUUAUUAGCAUCAAUGAUUAUUUUCAAGUUUCAGAGAUGACUACCUUAUCAUGCCUAUCGAAAUAUGUGUAUGGCUACUGUUAUCGUUUGGAUUGUUGAUGACACAAUUGCAACCAUUUUCGAUUAAGUUACUUUUUUGUAGUUAAGCUAUUGAGAACAAGAUAUGCAUUUCUUCGAAUAGGAUAGUACACCACAUCUCGGUCUGUUGUACUGAACAUGUGUUGUCAAACAAUGUUAUAUAAACCAUAUGUGGAGCAGUUAUACAUGUCAAGACUGAAUGUCAGAAUUGAUAUUUCUUUUUUGUAUUCCAGGAAAAUAUUAAGUUGUAAAUGCAGUAUUUCAUGUGAAUUCAUUUGUACAGAUUGUCAUUUUUUUGUGUAGUCUUGACUGCUCCAUUGAUAUGAUUCUGAAAUAGUGUUUUAUGCUGCAAAUGAUAUUUGUUCAGAUAAGCAAUUAUUAACUUGAAAUUUUGUUAAGAAAUGUUACCAUGGAGACCAAUCACUGUUUUGCCAUAACUUAAAUUGUGAUUGUUAAAGUAAAUGCUGUUAUAUUUUAAUGUCAUAUAAUCACAGAGAAAACAUCCAAAGUAGUGCUAAGCAUCUUCAUGCUUGACUUCUGACAGUAUUGUGAGAUACUGUGAAAAUCAAUGGCAUUGAAGUAAAUCAAUUAGCUUUUAUUGUUUAUUAUAAGUACCUCAAAACUGAUAUUUUAAUGGUUAUGGGCUCAUACUAUUCAUGUAUAUUGUGCACUUAUUUCAUGUACAUUUUGAGAAACUUGAUGAAAUUGAUGUUUGUGACAAUUGUAAACCCUAUUUCCAUAUGAAUUAGUGCAUGUUCAAUAGUCAUACCGAACUGUCAUUGUCAAGUAUAAGCAUAUACAAGUAAACAAAACACUCCAAAAAAUACCUAUUCUGAUUCGAAAAAGUUUGAUGUAACAAAUGUGAUAUGCUUAUAUUUAUCUAAAUUGAUUGAGUUAAACGUAGUUAUAUUAUUGUAUCAUCGAUGUUUUAAUAUUGGUUAUUCUCCUGCUAAAUUAAAAUAAAUUUGUAAAUAAUGUCAUUAGACUGUAUUUUCCGUCGUUAAAGUUUGAAAAAUAAAUAAAAA
Long non-coding RNA from Mya arenaria, 3827 nucleotides. RefSeq lists it as uncharacterized. The record is from RefSeq and is a predicted model, not a curated record. The transcript has 7 exons. Lineage: Eukaryota; Metazoa; Mollusca; Bivalvia; Myida; Myidae.